AAGAUUGCUGCAAUGAUAAUUCAAUUUAGUAUGAGAGAAAUCCUUGAUUCAGAUAAUUAAUUUUUGUGGCUCUCUGAUCGGGGUAGUGGUGGCGACACUAUAAUCUACUCAAUUAUGACCGGAUGUCUCUAAGUCAGAAUCUAUACUGAAACACGGCAAUGUUGCCCCCCCUUGUUGUCGUUGAAUAUGAAAGGGGCCCUCGGGCUCAGCAUCUGAGCAGAACGGCGUCAGCGUCUGAGGAGAAACCCCGGGUGUCAGCCAGUGAAUUGCAAUGUCACCACGCGCAGGGAUAGAUCGUCUGCAGAUAACUGAAAUGAUCAAGCGGGUCGUGUAAGCAGUCUAGUGACCUUGUUGUUACGAGUCGCUGAGCGUCUGCCCUAUCCUUUGGGUUGAUUU
This 396-nucleotide non-coding RNA is filed under the name Emergomyces pasteurianus Ep9510. Its description in RNAcentral is "Emergomyces pasteuriana Ep9510 Eukaryotic large subunit ribosomal RNA". It matches the Rfam family "Eukaryotic large subunit ribosomal RNA", at positions 3004 to 3401 of the family's 3401-position model. The record is from Rfam by way of RNAcentral. Lineage: Eukaryota; Fungi; Ascomycota; Eurotiomycetes; Onygenales; Ajellomycetaceae.